GCCGAUGUAGCUCAUUUGGUAGAGCAGUCGCCUUGUAAGCGACAGGUAACGGGUUCGACUCCCGUCAUCGGCU
This is a non-coding RNA of Anaerolineaceae bacterium 4572_5.2, 73 nucleotides long. The record is from Rfam. Lineage: Bacteria; Bacillati; Chloroflexota; Anaerolineae; Anaerolineales; Anaerolineaceae.